Molecule: long non-coding RNA, 1056 nt
Organism: Melanotaenia boesemani (Boeseman's rainbowfish)
Lineage: Eukaryota; Metazoa; Chordata; Actinopteri; Atheriniformes; Melanotaeniidae
Exons: 3
Source: RefSeq, a predicted model, not a curated record
AGCGACUUAUUUCCUUAAAACUGUCCUCCCAUCCACAGAGCCAGCCAGUCUGCCAUCAGUCUCAAGCGGGCCUGUACGCCGAAAUUUACCAAGAAUAUUUACAGGUGGGUUCCCACCGGGGACACACCAGACAAGAAGGAACUCAACUGGAGUGCACAUAGUGAGAGAUGAUGGAUAAAAUGAGAACACACACAAAAAACAUGCCGGUUUUCUUGGCAGCGACAAACACAGAGACUUUUACUAAUGCUCCGGUUUUUGCAACACGAGGAACAUAAAAUUGAAUUCUUCGAAACAAGAAGAUUUCGAUCGGAAGAAGCAGCUGUACGGAUCGUAAACAUGGAUUUCUGAGACCUGAUGUCAUUACAGAAAAAGUUUUGCUGGAAGUCUUGAAAGGAAGAAGCUGCAACAAACUCAGGAGUUUGCCAAUAAACAAACGGAUGCAAUUAAACACAGUCGCCUUCAGAUCGUCUACAAGGAGACAAGGUCAAGAUGAGUAAGGAGCUGAGGAGGACAAAUAAGACGAGGAAGACUCAAGGUUAACGCUAACUGAGUGAACUGAAGUGUGGAAAGUGGUUGUUUUUACAGUCUGGAUAAUUUUUUAACAAACAAACAUCCUUCAGUAUUUUUUACAUCACAUGUGCACAUUUUAAUACUCUUAAUUGAUGUUUUAUAUUUGAGUGUUUGUUUAGAAAUUAAGCCAGUUUGGCUGAUUGUCACAUUUGUGUAUAUUCUGACAUGUAACCAAAGAUUAUUGUGCAAAUAAAAAACACUUUUCUUGACAAUCUUAUCAGAGCUCCGCUCUGUUCUCCCUCUCCCUUCACCUUGGCAUGAGUAGCCUUCUUCUGUGUGUGCUGAGGUGCCUGCAUGGCGUGGUAAAACCUGCCCUGCAGACCGGACCUCUCAAGUCUUCAAAGGAGGACGAACUCAAUGUGGGGGAUUUGUUCAGGCUUAUUUGGUAACCUAGGAUUUGAAUUGGAUUCUUGGAGGCAUUCAUAACACAUUUGAAAAUGUUACAUUGUAUGAUUUUCUGUGUAAUCCCCAUAAUAAAUUCCAGAA